AUGGAGGGGGCGUUUCCACGAUGAGCAUAUCGAGGCUUGCUUCAUUUAUGGGAGGAGCUGAAAAUGAUGACGUCCGAAGCCUCGCUGCCCGGCUGUACCACGUGACUGGUUCAGGAAGUGGUUCGAACUUUGCCGCGAGCUAUGACAGCGAUAUAAACCCCUCAGACUUCAUUCAAAAUGUGGGUGUUUGAUGGAGAGUUGCGGUUAGUGAGAGUUUGGAGUUUUAGGAGAGUGAGGAGAGAAAGUCAGGAGAGAAUGGAGCCAGCUAAGAAGAGGAGGAUGUCCUCCCCUGUGUGGGAACAUUUUGAUCUUAUUCCUUCCAACAAGGUGAAGUGUUUGCUAUGUGCCAGGGAGCUGGGAUAUAACAACAACACCUCAUCCAUGCUUAGGCACUACAGAGCUUUGCAUUAGAAUAAGGGGAACACCGAUUGUGGAGCAAGACCAGGAGAACAAUCUCCAAUAGAUGAAGACCUGGUUAGCAUGGUGAUUGAGGACUCCCAGCCAUUUAGUAUUGUGGAGGACAAAGGAUUUAAAAGAUUUGUUAAAUCAUUAAAUCCUAGCUAUGUUCUCCCCACUAAAAAGGCCAUAAAAGCAGUGAAAAUUUAGUUUUUACAGAUUAAAAUGUGAACAGGCAGGACUGAGGCUCAAAGCCUCAGUGUGUAGCUGUCCAUACCUCAACGUUACAAAAGCACAACCACUGUCCAUAC
Molecule: long non-coding RNA, 707 nt
Organism: Oreochromis niloticus (Nile tilapia)
Lineage: Eukaryota; Metazoa; Chordata; Actinopteri; Cichliformes; Cichlidae
Exons: 3
Source: RefSeq, a predicted model, not a curated record